GACGAACGCUGGCGGCGUGCUUAACACAUGCAAGUCGAACGGAAAGGCCCUGCUUUUGUGGGGUGCUCGAGUGGCGAACGGGUGAGUAACACGUGAGUAACCUGCCCUUGACUUUGGGAUAACUUCAGGAAACUGGGGCUAAUACCGGAUAGGAGCUCCUGCUGCAUGGUGGGGGUUGGAAAGUUUCGGCGGUUGGGGAUGGACUCGCGGCUUAUCAGCUUGUUGGUGGGGUAGUGGCUUACCAAGGCUUUGACGGGUAGCCGGCCCGAGAGGGUGACCGGCCACAUUGGGACUGAGAUACGGCCCAGACUCCUACGGGAGGCAGCAGUGGGGAAUAUUGCACAAUGGGCGGAAGCCUGAUGCAGCAACGCCGCGUGCGGGAUGACGGCCUUCGGGUGGUAAACCGCUUUCGCCUGUGACGAAGCGUGAGUGACGGGAAUGGGUAAAGAAACACCGGCUAACUACGU
Molecule: ribosomal RNA, 467 nt
Filed under: uncultured bacterium
Lineage: Bacteria
Description: partial 16S ribosomal RNA
Rfam family: Bacterial small subunit ribosomal RNA
Source: RNAcentral